GGAGGGAUCGCAUAGUGGCCUAGUGCGGGCGCCUGCUAAGCGCUUAGCCCGAGAAAUUGGGCUCAUGGGUUCGAAUCCCAUUCCCUCCGCCA
This 92-nucleotide transfer RNA is filed under the name Dehalococcoidia bacterium. RNAcentral describes it as "tRNA-Ser". It matches the Rfam family "tRNA". Rfam says of the family: Transfer RNA (tRNA) molecules are approximately 80 nucleotides in length. Their secondary structure includes four short double-helical elements and three loops (D, anti-codon, and T loops). Further hydrogen bonds mediate the characteristic L-shaped molecular structure. tRNAs have two regions of fundamental functional importance: the anti-codon, which is responsible for specific mRNA codon recognition, and the 3' end, to which the tRNAs corresponding amino acid is attached (by aminoacyl-tRNA synthetases). tRNAs cope with the degeneracy of the genetic code in two manners: having more than one tRNA (with a specific anti-codon) for a particular amino acid; and 'wobble' base-pairing, i.e. permitting non-standard base-pairing at the 3rd anti-codon position. Lineage: Bacteria; Bacillati; Chloroflexota; Dehalococcoidia. The record is from RNAcentral.